UGAAAUCGGUAAUGGUCCCACGAUGUCC
This 28-nucleotide small RNA is filed under the name Bombyx mori (domestic silkworm). RNAcentral describes it as "ovarian small RNA-30586". The record is from RNAcentral. Lineage: Eukaryota; Metazoa; Arthropoda; Insecta; Lepidoptera; Bombycidae.